GACGAACGCUGGCGGCGUGCUUAACACAUGCAAGUCGAACGGUGAAGCGCCUUGCUUUUUGGUGGGUGUGGAUGAGUGGCGAACGGGUGAGUAACACGUGAGUAACCUGCCCCCUUCUUCUGGAUAACCGCAUGAAAGUGUGGCUAAUACGGGAUAUUCUGGGUCUGUCGCAUGAUGGGUUUGGGAAAGAUAUUGUUUCGGUGGGGGAUGGGCUCGCGGCCUAUCAGCUUGGUGGUGGGGUGAUGGCCUACCAAGGCGGUGACGGGUAGCCGGCCUGAGAGGAUGGACGGUCACACUGGUACUGAGACACCGACCAGACUCCUACGGGAAGCAGCAGGGGGUAUUAUUGCACAGUGGGCGCAAGCCUGAUGCAGCGACGCCGCGUGGGGGAUGGAGUCCGUCGUGUUGAGAACCUCUUUCGCCAGUGAAGCAGGCCUGCCUCGUUUGUGGGUGGGUUGACGGUAGCUGGAUAAGAAGCGCCGGCUAACUACGUG
RNAcentral lists this ribosomal RNA (494 nucleotides) under uncultured bacterium. RNAcentral's name for it is "partial 16S ribosomal RNA". It matches the Rfam family "Bacterial small subunit ribosomal RNA", at positions 28 to 507 of the family's 1533-position model. The record is from RNAcentral.